Molecule: long non-coding RNA, 306 nt
Filed under: Olea europaea (common olive)
Lineage: Eukaryota; Viridiplantae; Streptophyta; Magnoliopsida; Lamiales; Oleaceae
Description: long non-coding RNA (OEUR_LNC008338)
Source: RNAcentral
GACUUGUUUGGAAAUCAAUUGGGAGUUUUUUAUUUCUAUUUUGUGCAUCAUUCUUGUAUAUAGAUUGAGGUGUCCAUCUGCCAAAAUCACCCCUUUUUGGAUGAAGUCAAUUGGGAAUUUUGUAUCUUUAUUUUGUGCAUUAUUCUUAUAUGUAAAAUGAGGUUGCCAUUAGCCAAAAUCAUUGCUUUGUAACAUUAAAAACUGUUUCUGUACUCAUUUACUGUGAUAUAUUUGAUCGGUUUUACUGCUUUCGUUUUUCUUUUAUCUUGAGGCCUGAUUUCUCCGUACGAAUUUGUAUUUAUUGAG